UACGCAGGGUGCAAGCGUUAAUCGGAAUUACUGGGCGUAAAGCGUGCGCAGGCGGUUAUGUAAGACAGUUGUGAAAUCCCCGGGCUCAACCUGGGAACUGCAUCUGUGACUGCAUAGCUAGAGUACGGUAGAGGGGGAUGGAAUUCCGCGUGUAGCAGUGAAAUGCGUAGAUAUGCGGAGGAACACCGAUGGCGAAGGCAAUCCCCUGGACCUGUACUGACGCUCAUGCACGAAAGCGUGGGGAGCAAACAGG
RNAcentral lists this ribosomal RNA (253 nucleotides) under uncultured bacterium. RNAcentral describes it as "partial 16S ribosomal RNA". It matches the Rfam family "Bacterial small subunit ribosomal RNA", at positions 524 to 776 of the family's 1533-position model. The record is from RNAcentral.